This 2148-nucleotide ribosomal RNA is filed under the name Triticum aestivum (bread wheat). RNAcentral's name for it is "partial small subunit ribosomal RNA". The record is from RNAcentral. Lineage: Eukaryota; Viridiplantae; Streptophyta; Magnoliopsida; Poales; Poaceae.
AUGGGUACUGGACGGAAGGCAGAGACCUACAAUGCCCCAGCACCAAAACAAGAUCGAAGCAAUACUCGGUGGUAUGGUGACCAAUCUUUUCCUGCACGUAAUCUUGGGGAAGAUGCGCUAGCAGGAGUUAUUUUCGGCUGCACCAACAAAACAAUGAAUGAAUGCCUCUCUAAACAGCUAUUUGGUUUGCCUGCAUGCCAUUUCUCCUAUGUGAAGAAUAUUAAACCUGGACUGCCUCUGUUUCUGUUCAAUUAUAGUGACAGAAAACUGCAUGGCAUUUUCGAAGCUGCCACUCCUGGCCAGCUUACCAUUGACCAAUUUGCUUGGAGUCAUGAUGGUAGAACAAAGACACAGUAUCCCGCACAGGUUCGGGUCUCUAUCAAAACUCAGUGCCUACCACUUCCAGAGAACAUAUACAAAGGCGUGAUUAGUGGCAAUUAUCACAAGUUUCGCCACUUCCACUUUGAGCUAGACCAUGCACAAACAAGAGACUUAGUUUCUUUGUUUGUACCUGCUCCUGUUGGUGCUGUUCCAAACGAGCGGAAUUUUUCGGUACCUCGUGCUCCUGUUGACGCUGCUCCAAACAGAUGCAGUCUUUCUGGACCUCUGCCAUCUCCAACAGGAGCACAGCUUGUUCGUGGCGUAGUGUCGACUGAGUCUGGUUCAACGGAUGGUGAACUGUUUGCCGGUUCAGCAUAUUCAGUUGAUAGAAAUGCUGACCAUGCCAGUGCAAGUAGAACAUCAAAGAGCAACUUUGAUGAAGAGCCUUCUGAGUGGGAUGAUUUGGAUGAUGGUGUGACUGAGAAAGGAACAAAGUCUGUGAAUGAUGGCCAUCCACAUAUCAAUCCAUUGAAUGGUCAACAGCAUGACCCAAUGGAUGUUUUGCAGAAGUUGCAAGAACUGUCUCUUUUACGGCAGGAGAAGGCCCAACCCUCGGAGGUUGCUGUUGAUUAUACUUCAGGUAGAAGCAGACUUCAAGAAUCACCACUGGGUGCUGCUUUUGGCAAAGAUCCAUCAAACGCCACCUUGGGCGGUGAUGCACCUGUGAAAGACAGCACAUCCUUUGAGCAACUUUGUGGAAAUGAUGAGCUGCUUCAGAUCAUCAAUGAAUUAUCCAAGAAGACCGAAGCAAUUGGGAAAAAGCAGACCGAGUCAGAUGAAGAAAUACUUGUAUUGAGGGCAACUGUAAAGGACAUGGAAAGAAAAAUUCAGGAACUGCAGUACCAAUAUGGGAAAUUACAGUUGGAGUAUUCAGCAGCACUUCUUGGUGAACCACGCAAUAUUCUGGAAGGGCCAUCAAUUUUCCUAAUAGGUGGCCAUAAUGGCAUCACCUGGUUGCCAUCCCUCGAUUCCUUUUACCCUACAGCAGAUAGACUAGUGCCGCUGAGGCCAAUGAGCUCAGCCCGUUCAUAUGCUGCUGUUGCUGCAUUGAAUGAUCAUCUCUUUGUUAUUGGUGGCGGCGAUGGCGAUUCAUGGUAUACCACAGUGGAAUGCUACAACAGGGUGAGCAAUGAGUGGAUGGCAUGCCCAUGCUUGAAACAGAAGAAAGGAAGUCUUGCUGGAGCUACAUUGAAUGGUAAAAUAUUUGCUAUUGGUGGGGGCGAUGAGUCGAGAUCUUUUUCAGAAGUUGAGAUGUUUGAUCCAGUACUUGGGAGUUGGAUAUACAGCCCGUCUAUGCAACAAUGUCGAUUUGCUCCUGCUGCAGCCGAAUUAAAUGGCAUCCUCUAUGUUGUUGGUGGUUAUGAUUUCAGUGACGACUCAUACUUACAAUCAGCAGAAAGGUAUGAUCCAAGGGAAGGUUUCUGGACCCAGCUUGCAAGCAUGAAGACAAAAAGAGGAUCCCANNNNNNNNNNNNNNNNNNNNNNNNNNNAUAUGCUCUGGGAGGGUACGAUGGAGACCAAAUGCUUUCCACUGUGGAGAUCUUUGACCCUCGUGCCAAUUCGUGGAGGAUAGGCAGCCCGUUCAGCGUCCCAAGAGGAUAUGGGUGUGCAGUCACAGCGGACGACAAUGUGUACCUCAUUGGCGGGUCCGAAUCCAAUGGAGAAACUAUUGAAACUGUGGAAGUUUACAAUGAGAGGCAAGGCUGGUCUAUCCCUGGCUACAAGGCGAUAGGGAAGAGGGCCUUCGCCUCUGCCAUCGUCGUUUGA